This 618-nucleotide ribosomal RNA is filed under the name Microbacterium sp. SUBG005. Its description in RNAcentral is "bacterial SSU rRNA". It matches the Rfam family "Bacterial small subunit ribosomal RNA", at positions 838 to 1409 of the family's 1533-position model. Lineage: Bacteria; Bacillati; Actinomycetota; Actinomycetes; Micrococcales; Microbacteriaceae. The record is from RNAcentral.
UUCCCGUGACGCAGCUAAACGCGCAUUAAAGUUCCCCCGCCUGGGGGAGUACGGCCCGCAAAGGCUAAAAUUCAAAGGAAAUUGGAGGGGGGACCCCGCACAAGCGGCGGGAGCAUGGCGGAUUAAUUUGGAUGCAACCGCGGAAGAACCCUUAACCAAGGCCUUGACCAUACCACCAGAAACGGGCCCAGAAAAUGGUCAACUCUUUUGGAACACUGGUGAAACAGGUGGUGCAUGGUUGUCGUCAGCCUCGUGUUCGUUGAGAAUGUUGGGUUAAGUCCCCGCAAACGAGGCGCCAACCCUUCCUUCUAUGUUGCCAGGCACGUAAUUGGUGGGAACUUCAUGGGAUACUGCCCCGGGGUCAACUUCGGAGGAAGGUGGGGGAUGACGUCCCCUCCUCAUGCCCCUUAUGUCUUGGGCUUCACGCAUGCUACAAUGGCCGGUACAAAGGGCUGCAAUACCGUGAGGUGGAGCGAAUCCCAAAAAGCGGGUGGGCAGUUCGGAUUGAGGUCUGCAACUCGACCUCAUGAAGUCGGAGUCGCUAGUAAUGAGCAGAUCAGCAACGCUGCGGUAAAUACUUUCCCGGGUCUUGUACACACCCCCCAUCAAGUACACGAA